GUGGGGAAUCUUAGACAAUGGGGGAAACCCUGAUCUAGCCAUGCCGCGUGAGCGAUGAAGGCCUUAGGGUUGUAAAGCUCUUUCAGCUGGGAAGAUAAUGACGGUACCAGCAGAAGAAGCCCCGGCUAACUCCGUGCCAGCAGCCGCGGUAAUACGGAGGGGGCUAGCGUUGUUCGGAAUUACUGGGCGUAAAGCGCGCGUAGGCGGACCAGAAAGUUGGAGGUGAAAUCCCAGGGCUCAACCUUGGAACUGCCUUCAAAACUCCUGGUCUGGAGUUCGAGAGAAGUGAGUGUAAUUCCGAGUGUAGAGGUGAAAUUCGUAGAUAUUCGGAGGAACACCAGUGGCGAAGGCGGCUCACUGGCUCGAUACUGACGCUGAGGUGCGAAAGCGUGGGGAGCAAACAGGAUUAGAAACCCUGGUAGUCC
This 425-nucleotide ribosomal RNA is filed under the name uncultured bacterium. RNAcentral's name for it is "partial 16S ribosomal RNA". It matches the Rfam family "Bacterial small subunit ribosomal RNA", at positions 354 to 796 of the family's 1533-position model. The record is from RNAcentral.